AUACGUAGGUGACAAGCGUUAUCCGGAUUUACUGGGCGUAAAGGGCGUGUAGGCGGUCUUGCAAGUCAGAAGUGAAAUUCCUGAGCUCAACUCGGGCGCUGCUUCUGAAACUGCAGGACUUGAGUGCUGGAGGGGAUAGCGGAAUUCCUAGUGGAGCGGUAAAAUGCGCAGAUAUUAGGAAGAACACCGGUGGCGAAGGCGGCUAUCUGGACAGUAACGGACGCGGAGGCGCGAAAUCUUGGGUAGCAAACAGGAUGAGAUACCCUGGUAUUCCACGCCGUAAACGAUGAAUACUAGGUGUAGGGGGUAUCGACUCCCUCUGUGCCGCAGUUAACACAAUAAGUAUUCCGCCUGGGGAGUACGGCCGCAAGGUUGAAACUCAAAUGAAUUGACGGGG
Molecule: ribosomal RNA, 397 nt
Filed under: uncultured bacterium
Lineage: Bacteria
Description: partial 16S ribosomal RNA
Rfam family: Bacterial small subunit ribosomal RNA
Source: RNAcentral